Molecule: unclassified non-coding RNA, 209 nt
Filed under: uncultured fungus
Lineage: Eukaryota; Fungi
Description: sequence contains ITS1
Source: RNAcentral
UUAGUUUAUUUGCUUGUUUAGUCAGACGCCACGGAUAAUACAGAAUAGAAGUGGCCCCUUGGCGGGUCGGGAACCGGUGCUGGGCAAACCAGCACCGCAACCCCGAGGGCCGCCGAAGCAACAGUGGUAUAUACGCAAAGGGUGGGAGGGUCAGACCCCGAAGGACCCGCAUCUCGUUAAUGAUCCUUCCGCAGGUUCACCUACGGAAA